UACGUAGGGUGCGAGCGUUAAUCGGAAUUACUGGGCGUAAAGCGUGCGCAGGCGGUGAUGUAAGACAGUUGUGAAAUCCCCGGGCUCAACCUGGGAAUUGCAUCUGUGACUGCAUCGCUAGAGUACGGUAGAGGGGGGAUGGAAUUCCGCGUGUAGCAGUGAAAUGCGUAGAUAUGCGGAGGAACACCGAUGGCGAAGGCAAUCCCCU
RNAcentral lists this ribosomal RNA (208 nucleotides) under uncultured bacterium. RNAcentral's name for it is "partial 16S ribosomal RNA". It matches the Rfam family "Bacterial small subunit ribosomal RNA", at positions 524 to 730 of the family's 1533-position model. The record is from RNAcentral.